AGAGUUUGAUCCUGGCUCAGAUUGAACGCUGGCGGCAGGCCUAACACAUGCAAGUCGAGCGGAAACGAUGGGAGCUUGCUCCCAGGCGUCGAGCGGCGGACGGGUGAGUAAUGCAUAGGAAUCUGCCCGGUAGUGGGGGAUAACCUGGGGAAACCCAGGCUAAUACCGCAUACGUCCUACGGGAGAAAGCAGGGGCUCUUCGGACCUUGCGCUGUCGGAUGAGCCUAUGUCGGAUUAGCUGGUUGGUGAGGUAAUGGCUCACCAAGGCGACGAUCCGUAGCUGGUCUGAGAGGAUGAUCAGCCACAUCGGGACUGAGACACGGCCCGAACUCCUACGGGAGGCAGCAGUGGGGAAUAUUGGACAAUGGGCGCAAGCCUGAUCCAGCCAUGCCGCGUGUGUGAAGAAGGCCCUCGGGUUGUAAAGCACUUUCAGUGGGGAAGAAAGCCUUCCGGUUAAUACCCGGGAGGAAGGACAUCACCCACAGAAGAAGCACCGGCUAACUCCGUGCCAGCAGCCGCGGUAAUACGGAGGGUGCGAGCGUUAAUCGGAAUUACUGGGCGUAAAGCGCGCGUAGGUGGCUUGAUAAGCCGGUUGUGAAAGCCCCGGGCUCAACCUGGGAACGGCAUCCGGAACUGUCAGGCUAGAGUGCAGGAGAGGAAGGUAGAAUUCCCGGUGUAGCGGUGAAAUGCGUAGAGAUCGGGAGGAAUACCAGUGGCGAAGGCGGCCUUCUGGACUGACACUGACACUGAGGUGCGUAAGCGUGGGUAGCAAACAGGAUUAGAUACCCUGGUAGUCCACGCCGUAAACGAUGUCGACUAGCCGUUGGGUCCUUCGCGGACUUUGUGGCGCAGUUAACGCGAUAAGUCGACCGCCCUGGGAGUACGGCCGCAAGGUUAAAACUCAAAGGAAUUGACGG
This 917-nucleotide ribosomal RNA is filed under the name uncultured bacterium. Its description in RNAcentral is "bacterial SSU rRNA". It matches the Rfam family "Bacterial small subunit ribosomal RNA", at positions 8 to 916 of the family's 1533-position model. The record is from RNAcentral.